RNAcentral lists this ribosomal RNA (537 nucleotides) under Colletotrichum gloeosporioides. RNAcentral describes it as "eukaryotic LSU rRNA". The stretch from base 176 to 329 matches the Rfam family "5.8S ribosomal RNA". Lineage: Eukaryota; Fungi; Ascomycota; Sordariomycetes; Glomerellales; Glomerellaceae. The record is from RNAcentral.
UUACUGAGUUUACGCUCUAUAACCCUUUGUGAACAUACCUAUAACUGUUGCUUCGGCGGGUAGGGUCUCCGCGACCCUCCCGGCCUCCCGCCUCCGGGCGGGUCGGCGCCCGCCGGAGGAUAACCAAACUCUGAUUUAACGACGUUUCUUCUGAGUGGUACAAGCAAAUAAUCAAAACUUUUAACAACGGAUCUCUUGGUUCUGGCAUCGAUGAAGAACGCAGCGAAAUGCGAUAAGUAAUGUGAAUUGCAGAAUUCAGUGAAUCAUCGAAUCUUUGAACGCACAUUGCGCCCGCCAGCAUUCUGGCGGGCAUGCCUGUUCGAGCGUCAUUUCAACCCUCAAGCUCUGCUUGGUGUUGGGGCCCUACAGCUGAUGUAGGCCCUCAAAGGUAGUGGCGGACCCUCCCGGAGCCUCCUUUGCGUAGUAACUUUACGUCUCGCACUGGGAUCCGGAGGGACUCUUGCCGUAAAACCCCCCAAUUUUCCAAAGGUUGACCUCGGAUCAGGUAGGAAUACCCGCUGAACUUAAGCAUAUCAA